This 684-nucleotide ribosomal RNA is filed under the name Triticum aestivum (bread wheat). RNAcentral's name for it is "partial small subunit ribosomal RNA". The record is from RNAcentral. Lineage: Eukaryota; Viridiplantae; Streptophyta; Magnoliopsida; Poales; Poaceae.
CUGGUCACUGCCGUCAUGCCCGCCGCUAUGUCCCCAACGGUCAACGUCGCGAGUUUCCGUACCCAUGUCCCUGUGACACUGGACCUCCACGCCUCCAACUUCACCAAGUGGAGGAUGCUCAUCCGCGUGCUUCUCGGCAAGUACGAUCUGCUCUCCCACGUCAACACCGUCACUGCCGAGGCGGACCGCACCGCGGACUGGGUUCGCGAGGACUACAUCGUCCGCUCAUGGCUCUAUGGGUCUAUCUCAGACGAGAUCCUUGACAUAAUCAUGGCAGAGGACCAGACGAUGCACGACGCUUGGACGCUCAUCACCAACCUGUUUCUUGAUAAUCAGAUGACCCACGCCGUUUAUCUCGAGGCGGAGUUCCGCGGCCUCGUCCAGGGCGAGCUCUCCAUCACCACCUACUGCCACCGUCUGAAGGUGCUCUCCGACGCCCUCAGUGACGUUGGCACCCCCAUCUCCGACCAGACGCUUGUCCUCAAUUGCCUUCAUGGUCUCAAUCCGCGUUUCUUGGACAUCACGAUGAUAGUCCCCAUGCAGAACCCUCUUCCUUCGUUUAGCCAGACGAGGUCGCUGCUUACUCUCCGCGAGACUCAGCUCACCAAUUCCAUGGCGAUAGGGCACCAGAUGGCCCUCUAUGGAGGCGUGCCUCCUCAUGGCGCUAGCGGCUCCACCUCCUCU